GACCUAGUCUGGUCUGGAAGAAGAGAUCUCUAUGGGCUUUGAUCUUGGUAGGCAUAUUUAUUCACCGGGUACACAAAUGUAACUUUACACCUUCAGCCACAUUUAGUAAACGAUUUCUUCAUUUGUUGCAGUCUUAUUCUGAUGGGAAAAAUUUCCUCUAUUUUUCAAGUUUAAUUUAUUAUUUUUUCAAAUUACAAGAGCAAUGCAUAUUAUUGUAACCAGAGAGAUAAUGCCAAGAUCUGUAGAGAAAAACUUAAUAAUCUGGGUCUCCUAUAACCAUCUCUCUUCCCAUCCCCCUGAGGUAAUAGCAAAUGUUAACAGCCUGGUACCUCUGCACAUCUUCUUUCCUUCAUGAUUUCCCUACACACACACCCAUACAUACACACGCACAUGCACACACACACCCACUCAAACACACGGUGUACGUCCAGGGAUCGGAAGUGGCUACAGAGAUGGAGUCUUCAUUAUUAAGGGGACAUCAAAGUGGAGCCACAAAUGGGAAGAUUGUGAAGAGGGCCCUUGACCAAAUAAAGAGGAAACCUUUUCCCUGAAGAGGACUUUUCAGCAACCCAACUAAUUCACUCAUUUUUCUCAAAGUUGAAUUUUCUUCCACAAAAACCCCUUGACUUUGUUAUUCAGUAGAUCCUCAGGCCUAGGAAAAUAAUGUCUACAUUGACCAAGGAGAUAUCUGAACUACCAGUACUUCCUGCAGCAUCUUUGUUUUGGUUGGCCUGGGCAGGUGGUGGGGCACGGGGGUGAAGGGAGGGGUCUGAGGUGGGUUGAAAACAAGGGUAUCCCCAGGACUAGGGGAGGAAGGUCUAGUGGACUGGAACCAUUGUAUCUGUCGAUUAGUGGAGGCAAUCAUAUUUGUGAUCCUUGAGCUAAUGGUCUAGGAAGACUAUAAACUCGUUCAUAAUUAAAGUUAGCAAGAGGGUUCUUACCCCAGGUAAUGAGACAAGAGUGAACCACAGGAGGAAGCCAGCACAAGGACCGUAUGUAAUGAGUCCCUUCAUGGGAAAAGGGAUGGAAAAUAGUCCUCAGGCUAGUAGCAGAGGGAGUGCUCUCUGUUGUGGGACUUGACCUGCUUAAGAGGUCUGACUUGAGGUGAGGCUGAAAGACAGCCCCGUUGUGGGCUUCAAGAUAAAGAUGGACCGAUAGGGUUCUCUCACCACUGAAUAUCUCCUAAGGCAUUAGUAAAACACUAUUUAAAUAUUUCCUCUGUAACUCAGUUGUGCUAUUAAAGCUCUGUUUCUCAAA
Molecule: long non-coding RNA, 1257 nt
Filed under: Pongo abelii (Sumatran orangutan)
Lineage: Eukaryota; Metazoa; Chordata; Mammalia; Primates; Hominidae
Description: lincRNA
Source: RNAcentral